Long non-coding RNA from Rhincodon typus (whale shark), 238 nucleotides. RefSeq lists it as uncharacterized. The transcript is spliced from 3 exons. Lineage: Eukaryota; Metazoa; Chordata; Chondrichthyes; Orectolobiformes; Rhincodontidae. The record is from RefSeq and is a predicted model, not a curated record.
CCACAGGUGACAUUAUAUGGAACAGUCUUUGCGAGAAUGUCUCCGGAUAUGAAAACCAAACUCAUCAAAUCGCUACAAAAUCUUGACUACGUUGUGGGAAUGUGCGGUGACGGAGCCAAUGACUGCGGGGCUCUGAAGACAGCCCACGUGGGGAUCUCCCUGUCACAGCUGGAAGCCUCAGUCGCCUCACCUUUCACCUCCAAACUGCCAAACAUCGAGUGUGUCCCCAUCCUCAUCA